Long non-coding RNA from Drosophila sulfurigaster albostrigata, 582 nucleotides. RefSeq lists it as uncharacterized. The transcript is spliced from 2 exons. Lineage: Eukaryota; Metazoa; Arthropoda; Insecta; Diptera; Drosophilidae. The record is from RefSeq and is a predicted model, not a curated record.
UCCAUAUAGAUCUAUACACUACACAGAAAACUUUAGUACUUACUGCCAUAGAUAAAUUUUCAAAAUACGCACAGAUAAAAAUAGUAAAAUCAAGAGCUGCCGAAGAUCUAAAAACGCCCCUACGGGAGGUAAUGAUGGCAUUUGGCAUGCCAAAGUUAGUCGUCAUGGACAACGAAAAGGCUCUAAACGCAUCGUCAAUCAAGUUCUUAUUAAAAGAACAACUUAAAGUAGAAGUCUUCACGACCCCACCGUAUGCUUCCACAAGUAACGGUCAAAUAGAAAGAUUUCAUUCAACUAUGACCGAAAUCUUGAGGUGUCUUAAACGAGACGAGUCGACAGCCACUUUUGAGGACUUGAUCUUUAAAACAAAAUAUUUUUUGGCAAUCAAUUUAAUUCAAACCCAAUAGAACUCGAACGCUUAAGAAAUCAGAUUAGUAAUAACAUCAGCAAAAAACAGGAAGAGGAUAUAUCUUAUCACAAUCAGAAACGAAACCCUAUAAGAAAAUAUGAAAAAGGCGAAACCAUUUUUAUUAAAAUUGACAAAAGACUAGGGUCCAAAAUAACCCCUAGAUAUCGAAAAGA